Molecule: ribosomal RNA, 429 nt
Filed under: uncultured bacterium
Lineage: Bacteria
Description: bacterial SSU rRNA
Rfam family: Bacterial small subunit ribosomal RNA
Source: RNAcentral
UUAGGAAUAUUCGUCAAUGGGGGAAACCCUGAACGAGCAAUGCCGCGUGAGUGAUGAAGGUCUUAUGGAUCGUAAAACUCUGUUGUUUGGGAAGAACGUCCAAAGUAGGAAAUGACUUUGGAGUGACGGUACCAUUCGAGAAAGCCCCGGCUAACUACGUGCCAGCAGCCGCGGUAAUACGUAGGGGGCGAGCGUUGUCCGGAUUUAUUGGGCGUAAAGCGUGCGUAGGCGGUUUAUUAAGUCGAAGGUUAAAUACUGAAGCUCAACUUCAGUUCGCCUUGGAAACUGAUAGACUCGAGUGUAGUAGAGGCAAGUGGAAUUUCUAGUGUAGCGGUAAAAUGCGUAGAUAUUAGAAGGAACACCAGUGGCGAAGGCGACUUGCUGGGCUAUUACUGACGCUGAGGCACGAAAGCGUGGGGAGCAAAUAGG